This 240-nucleotide unclassified non-coding RNA is filed under the name soil metagenome. RNAcentral's name for it is "partial contains 5.8S ribosomal RNA, internal transcribed spacer 2, and large subunit ribosomal RNA". The record is from RNAcentral.
AACCAUAGAAACCUGCGGAGUACCUGCGGAGGGAUCAUUAUAGUAUAUGGAAUCUCCAUUCUAUAAACCCACUCUGCGUAUCUUGUAACUGUUGCUUCCAUGGGACUUGGUUCCGCCACACCGGCUUCACGGCUGGUGAGCGCCCAUGGAAGGAGAAACAAAACUCUUCUUUGAAAUGUAGUCAGUCUGAACGAGUUUUUAUAAACGUUAAAACUUUUAGCAACGGAUCUCAGAUCGGAA